Non-coding RNA from Schizosaccharomyces pombe (fission yeast), 940 nucleotides. Lineage: Eukaryota; Fungi; Ascomycota; Schizosaccharomycetes; Schizosaccharomycetales; Schizosaccharomycetaceae. The record is from the annotation of a GenBank genome assembly.
AAAUGCCAACUAAUAUGGAAAUUAAAUAAACCAGAUAGAAAAGGUUGGACCAUUAAUCAUCAAUUGGAAAUAAAAAACUGUGCAAAAACGAAGAGAUAUAUAAAAUGCAAUCGAGUAUCAAAGACUUGCAAGCCCAAGAAAAUACAAACCCGUAAAGGAACGUUUGACAUAAGUUAUAACAGGAUAAAAAUGUUAAAUUAAACAAAAUGCUAGUGCUUAAAAAAAUCACUGAAAUUCAAUGACCGGAAAUGUACGAUCAAUUAUAGGGUUCAGCUCUAAGAAGAGAACCUUUUCUGGUUCGGAAUGAUGAUAAUAAUAUCCUUUGAUUUUCCCAGUGCUUUGUGAAAAUGAAAUAUAGUAAAAACCUUCAUAACUGAUUCCAAAAGGAAAGCUUUGGUUGUGAUUUUGAUAAUCGACUGUUUUAUCAAGCAUCGCAAGCUCUUUCCAACGCAUGUAAACUGUUUCACGACUUAACGGAUCAUAUGGUUGUAUUAGUCGAAGUGGAAUAUCUUUACCAUUACUUUUAAGGGCUCCUAGGCGUUUCCAGUGCCUGUUAUCAAUUUCCUCAGAAGCUCCCCAUUCAGGCCAUUUGGUUUCAAAAGUGAAUCUAUUGCCGAUUAUUUCCGCUUCGAAGUAAGUAGUCAAGGAGGUGUUAUUCGGACUUGUAUAACUUACGUGAAUAAACCCACAUAACAUCGAUUUAGCAAGAUUGACAUGUAAUAUUGUAACAUGGACUUCCAAAGUUGAGCUGCUUACACCCUUCUGUUUUCCUUGAAAUUUUGCACCAUUUCUAAGAAAUGAACAUCCUUUCAUGUUCUUAAGAUGUGCCAAAUACUUUAAUUAGAAGAUAAACCUAACGGAACUGUAGUUUAUUGUCGCUUUUCAGCUAUGGAUGCGAUUGUUGAGGUUUUCUUAGAGAAUAUCCGUUUAUUAGAUAAUA